AGAGUCUGCGUCUUUGGCAGGAUGCACAGUGACUGAACCAAGGCACUCUCUGCCUGAGUAAAGAGGGAGUGAAGUACUCAGAGUAGGAAACGCCUCUACCCUGCCUUUCCCUACCAUGGGCUUCUUGCUCCUCUGCUGUGUGGCCUUUUGUCUCUUGAGAACAGGCUCCAUAGAUGCUGGCAUUACCCAGACCCCAAGGCAUGGAAUUAUAAAGACAGGAAAGAGCAUUUUACUGAAGUGUUCUCAGACUGAGAGUCAUAAUUUUAUGUAC
Mustela erminea (ermine) is the source of this 271-nucleotide long non-coding RNA. RefSeq lists it as uncharacterized. The transcript is spliced from 3 exons. Lineage: Eukaryota; Metazoa; Chordata; Mammalia; Carnivora; Mustelidae. The record is from RefSeq and is a predicted model, not a curated record.